CAGUCGAACGAUGAUGCCCAGCUUGCUGGGUGGAUUAGUGGCGAACGGGUGAGUAACACGUGAGUAACCUGCCCUUGACUUCGGGAUAACUCCGGGAAACCGGGGCUAAUACCGGAUAUGAGCCGCCUUCGCAUGGGGGUGGUUGGAAAGUUUUUCGGUCAGGGAUGGGCUCGCGGCCUAUCAGCUUGUUGGUGGGGUGAUGGCCUACCAAGGCGACGACGGGUAGCCGGCCUGAGAGGGCGACCGGCCACACUGGGACUGAGACACGGCCCAGACUCCUACGGGAGGCAGCAGUGGGGAAUAUUGCACAAUGGGCGAAAGCCUGAUGCAGCGACGCCGCGUGAGGGAUGAAGGCCUUCGGGUUGUAAACCUCUUUCAGCAGGGAAGAAGCGCAAGUGACGGUACCUGCAGAAGAAGCGCCGGCUAACUACGUGCCAGCAGCCGCGGUAAUACGUAGGGCGCAAGCGUUGUCCGGAAUUAUUGGGCGUAAAGAGCUCGUAGGCGGUUUGUCGCGUCUGGUGUGAAAACUCGAGGCUCAACCUCGAGCUUGCAUCGGGUACGGGCAGACUAGAGUGCGGUAGGGGAGACUGGAAUUCCUGGUGUAGCGGUGGAAUGCGCAGAUAUCAGGAGGAACACCGAUGGCGAAGGCAGGUCUCUGGGCCGCAACUGACGCUGAGGAGCGAAAGCAUGGGGAGCGAACAGGAUUAGAUACCCUGGUAGUCCAUGCCGUAAACGUUGGGCACUAGGUGUGGGGGCUCAUUCCACGAGUUCCGUGCCGCAGCAAACGCAUUAAGUGCCCCGCCUGGGGGAGUACGGCCGCAAGGCUAAAACUCAAAGGAAUUGACGGGGGCCCGCACAAGCGGCGGAGCAUGCGGAUUAAUUCGAUGCAACGCGAGAAACCUUACCAAGGCUUGACAUGCACGAGAAGCCACCAGAGAUGGUGGUCUCUUUGGACACUCGUGCACAGGUGGUGCAUGGUUGUCGUCAGCUCGUGUCGUGAGAUGUUGGGUUAAGUCCCGCAACGAGCGCAACCCUCGUCCCAUGUUGCCAGCGGGUUAUGCCGGGGACUCAUGGGAGACUGCCGGGGUCAACUCGGAGGAAGGUGGGGAUGACGUCAAAUCAUCAUGCCCCUUAUGUCUUGGGCUUCACGCAUGCUACAAUGGCCGGUACAAAGGGCUGCGAUACCGUAAGGUGGAGCGAAUCCCAAAAAGCCGGUCUCAGUUCGGAUUGGGGUCUGCAACUCGACCCCAUGAAGUCGGAGUCGCUAGUAAUCGCAGAUCAGCAACGCUGCGGUGAAUACGUUCCCGGGCCUUGUACACACCGCCC
Molecule: ribosomal RNA, 1326 nt
Filed under: Cellulosimicrobium cellulans
Lineage: Bacteria; Bacillati; Actinomycetota; Actinomycetes; Micrococcales; Promicromonosporaceae
Description: bacterial SSU rRNA
Rfam family: Bacterial small subunit ribosomal RNA
Source: RNAcentral